This 1544-nucleotide long non-coding RNA is filed under the name Homo sapiens (human). Its description in RNAcentral is "HSALNT0324874". Lineage: Eukaryota; Metazoa; Chordata; Mammalia; Primates; Hominidae. The record is from RNAcentral.
CUUUCUUGCCAUCAUGUGAAGAAAGAUGUGCUUGUUUCCCCUUCCACCAUGAUUGUAAGUUUCCUGAGGCCUCCCCAGCCUGUGGAACUGUGAGUCAAUUAAACUUUUUUUCUUUGUAGAUUACUCAGUCUUGGGCAGUUCUUUACAGCAGCGUGUGAAUGGACUAACACACCAGUUACAUAAAGAAUUGAAAAUAGUCAAACUCCUAGAAGCAGAGAGUGGAAUGGUGAUUACCAGGGGCUUAGGGAAGCAGGAAACCAGGAGGUACACAGCUUCUGCUAUGCAAGACGAGAUGUUGACUUUAUAGUAAAAUGUGAGUCUUCUGUAUGAGACGUAUCAUUUACUGGGAUCUUAAGUGAAUGCUCAAGGUGUGUAGUGAGGUUUCUCCACCGUUGUUAUGUCAGAACACCAACAUCCAUGAGUCCUACAGGACCUCUUGUAUCUCUGUUCAGCUGCCAACUCUGUAGCAAGUCCUCUCUGCAAGGCCUCAAGGAGUCCUUUGUGGAUGCAUGUCCAGCCCUGUACAAGGAUUCAAAGCAUUUCCCGCGUAAACUCUUAGUCAAUGACUCAAGUCAUGCUAUGAGCAACAAUUUCUGUGUUCCACAUCAUCUACAAGCAACACAAUCUGUGACUCUCCAUCUGCCCCUAGUUAUGCUUUGGCCAGUAAUCCAAUUGCUACCGUCAUGCUUUCCUCUUAAAGAGUCCCUGGAUAUUCCUGCCUAGCUUGAGGGAAGUUACUUCAUUAGGGUGAUUUGGGCACUUGGGGAACCUUUGCCAUCUUUAUGACUUAAAUUUUGACUUACCAAAAUAAAUAAGACAUAUAAGGAAAGAACAUAAAUUUAAUAGAAAAAUUCAACAUAUUUCCCCGUGGAUGUCUUAUUUACAUUAAUUUGGCCUCUCCUUUCUGUCCUACUCACCCCUCCUAAAUAGAAAACAAAGUUAAUUAUUUGAUUGGCUGUAUUAGGGAAAGAAUUAGGGCUGAACCUGUUUGUCUUUUGUUCUCUGUUUAUUUGGAAAUCUGAAAUAGCAUCUAUUCUUGGAUUAUCUGUAUCAUAAAUAUUCAAGGUCAGGGAAGGCUGAAAUCUUCAGUUCAUCAAUAACCAGUUGGGUUCAAUGCAGGGGUGCUGAGCAGGAAGCCCACUUUUGCAGAGGAGGGAGCCGUUGUGUGCAAACAGCCUGAUUAGUAAUAAAGGCAGUGAUUUUGUUGUCUAUCUCUUUGGUUUCUCCCCUAUACAUUAAUUAAUUUAAAUGUGGGGUUAGGGAAGACAUUCAGUAAGUCUUUCGAAACCCUAACAACAGUUUACAGAACAAACAUCACAUUUAACACUUUUUUUUUUUUUUUGAGACAGGGUCUCACGCUGUCACCCAGGCUUGAGGGCAGUGGCACAAUCUCUGCUCACUGCAACCUCUGCCUCCCAGGAUCAGGCUAUUCUAAUGCCUCAGCCUCCAGAGUAGCUAGGAUUACAGGCACCCGCCAUCAUGCCUGGCUGAUUUUUGAAUUUUGAGUAGAGAUGGGGUUUCACCAUAUCGGCCAGGCUGGUAAC